CCAAAUUCACCUGUCCCGUGUUAUUUACUAGUCGGGUUUAUUGAUUGCCCCAGCAAAGACGUCCAGUAUUCGUGUAGGGAUGUAUUGACCAUGUAUGCUAGUCGAUAGUGACUUCAUAACGGACAGAGUGAUGUAUGAAUAAUGGUGUUUUUCCUCUGUAGUUUCCGUUAUUCUCAGACAGGUGGUCUACCUCGCGAGUGAAUACUUCAUUAAAACUUCUUCGUGGUUUUCACCUGUGCUGUAAGAGAGCUAUCACAAGAAGGCCCUAGAAGGACAACUCCAACAGAACAAACAUUCCAUGGAUACAAGUUGGUGAAGGCCUCAACCACAUGAUGCAGUUGUUAAGCGCCACCUGCUGGUUAAUUAGUAAACAACUUCAAGAAGA
Long non-coding RNA from Xiphias gladius (swordfish), 385 nucleotides. RefSeq lists it as uncharacterized. The record is from RefSeq and is a predicted model, not a curated record. NCBI's taxonomy places the organism in Eukaryota, Metazoa, Chordata, Actinopteri, Istiophoriformes, Xiphiidae. The transcript is spliced from 2 exons.